RNAcentral lists this ribosomal RNA (762 nucleotides) under uncultured bacterium. RNAcentral describes it as "bacterial SSU rRNA". It matches the Rfam family "Bacterial small subunit ribosomal RNA", at positions 28 to 774 of the family's 1533-position model. The record is from RNAcentral.
GAUGAACGCUGGCGGCGUGCCUAACACAUGCAAGUCGAACGGAGAUUUAACGCUGAUGAGGCUUCGGCGGAAUCUUGUUAAAUCUUAGUGGCGGACGGGUGAGUAACGCGUGGGCAACCUGCCUCAUACUGGGGGAUAACAGUUGGAAACGACUGUUAAUACCGCAUAAGCGCACAGAGUCGCAUGACUCAGUGUGAAAAACUCCGGUGGUAUGAGAUGGGCCCGCGUCAGAUUAGCCAGUUGGCGGGGUAACGGCCCACCAAAGCGACGAUCUGUAGCCGGACUGAGAGGUCGGACGGCCACAUUGGGACUGAGACACGGCCCAAACUCCUACGGGAGGCAGCAGUGGGGGAUAUUGCACAAUGGAGGAAACUCUGAUGCAGCGACGCCGCGUGAGUGAAGAAGUAUUUCGGUAUGUAAAGCUCUAUCAGCAGGGAAGAAAGGCUCGUAAGAGAGAUGACGGUACCUGACUAAGAAGCCCCGGCUAACUACGUGCCAGCAGCCGCGGUAAUACGUAGGGGGCAAGCGUUAUCCGGAUUUACUGGGUGUAAAGGGAGCGCAGACGGUCAAGCAAGUCUGAAGUGAAACCCCACGGCUCAACCGUGGGCUUGCUUUGGAAACUGUUUGACUAGAGUACUGGAGAGGUAAGCGGAAUUCCUAGUGUAGCGGUGAAAUGCGUAGAUAUUAGGAGGAACAUCGGUGGCGAAGGCGGCUUACUGGACAGCAACUGACGUUGAGGCUCGAAGGCGUGGGGAGCAAACA